Molecule: ribosomal RNA, 253 nt
Filed under: uncultured bacterium
Lineage: Bacteria
Description: partial 16S ribosomal RNA
Rfam family: Bacterial small subunit ribosomal RNA
Source: RNAcentral
AACGUAGGUGGCGAGCGUUAUCCGGAUUUACUGGGCGUAAAGCGUGCGCAGGCGGUUUUGUAAGCCAGAUGUGAAAUCCCCGGGCUUAACCUGGGAACUGCAUUUGGGACUGCAAGGCUUGAGUGCGGCAGAGGAGACUGGAAUUCCUGGUGUAGCAGUGAAAUGCGUAGAUAUCAGGAGGAAUACCGAUGGCGAAGGCAGGUCUCUGGGCUGACACUGACGCUCAUGCACGAAAGCGUGGGGAGCAAACAGG